AUUGAACGCUGGCGGCAGGCCUAACACAUGCAAGUCGAGCGGAUGAAGGGAGCUUGCUCCUGGAUUCAGCGGCGGACGGGUGAGUAAUGCCUAGGAAUCUGCCUGGUAGUGGGGGAUAACGUCCGGAAACGGGCGCUAAUACCGCAUACGUCCUGAGGGAGAAAGUGGGGGAUCUUCGGACCUCACGCUAUCAGAUGAGCCUAGGUCGGAUUAGCUAGUUGGUGGGGUAAAGGCCUACCAAGGCGACGAUCCGUAACUGGUCUGAGAGGAUGAGCAGUCACCCUGGAACUGAGACACGGUCCACACUCCUACGGGAGGCCGCAGUGCGGACUAUUGGACAAUGGGCGAAAGCCUGAUCCAGCCAUGCCGCGUGUGUGAAGAAGGUCUUCGGAUUGUAGAGCACUUUAAGUUGGGAGGAAGGGAAGUAAGUUAAUACCUUGCUGUUUUGACGUUACCAACAGAAUAAGCACCGGCUAACUUCGUG
This 484-nucleotide ribosomal RNA is filed under the name uncultured bacterium. RNAcentral's name for it is "partial 16S ribosomal RNA". It matches the Rfam family "Bacterial small subunit ribosomal RNA", at positions 30 to 507 of the family's 1533-position model. The record is from RNAcentral.